Molecule: ribosomal RNA, 497 nt
Filed under: uncultured bacterium
Lineage: Bacteria
Description: partial 16S ribosomal RNA
Rfam family: Bacterial small subunit ribosomal RNA
Source: RNAcentral
GAUGAACGCUGGCGGCGUGCCUAAUACAUGCAAGUCGAGCGAACAGACGAGGAGCUUGCUCCUCUGACGUUAGCGGCGGACGGGUGAGUAACACGUGGAUAACCUACCUAUAAGACUGGGAUAACUUCGGGAAACCGGAGCUAAUACCGGAUAACAUGUUGAACCGCAUGGUUUAACAGUGAAAGACGGUCUUGCUGUCACUUAUAGAUGGAUCCGCGCCGCAUUAGCUAGUUGGUAAGGUAACGGCUUACCAAGGCAACGAUGCGUAGCCGACCUGAGAGGGUGAUCGGCCACACUGGAACUGAGACACGGUCCAGACUCCUACGGGAGGCAGCAGUAGGGAAUCUUUCGCAAUGGGCGAAAGCCUGACGGAGCAACGCCGCGUGAGUGAAGAAGGUCUUCGGAUCGUAAAACUCUGCUAUUAGGGAAGAACAAAUGUGUAAGUAACUAUGCACGUCUUGACGGUACCUAAUCAGAAAGCCACGGCUAACUACGUG